RNAcentral lists this ribosomal RNA (120 nucleotides) under uncultured bacterium. RNAcentral describes it as "partial 16S ribosomal RNA". It matches the Rfam family "Bacterial small subunit ribosomal RNA", at positions 215 to 334 of the family's 1533-position model. The record is from RNAcentral.
GGGCAAAUCGAUGCGCUCGCGGCCUAUCAGCUAGUUGGCGAGGUAAUGGCUCACCAAGGCUACGACGGGUAGCUGGUCUGAGAGGAUGGCCAGCCACAUUGGGACUGCGACACGGCCCAG